RNAcentral lists this ribosomal RNA (703 nucleotides) under Streptomyces sp. RNAcentral's name for it is "bacterial SSU rRNA". It matches the Rfam family "Bacterial small subunit ribosomal RNA", at positions 82 to 798 of the family's 1533-position model. The record is from RNAcentral. Lineage: Bacteria; Bacillati; Actinomycetota; Actinomycetes; Kitasatosporales; Streptomycetaceae.
CGGGAGGGGAUUAGUGGCGAACGGGUGAGUAACACGUGGGCAAUCUGCCCUGCACUCUGGGACAAGCCCUGGAAACGGGGUCUAAUACCGGAUACUGAUCAUCUUGGGCAUCCUUGGUGAUCGAAAGCUCCGGCGGUGCAGGAUGAGCCCGCGGCCUAUCAGCUUGUUGGUGAGGUAAUGGCUCACCAAGGCGACGACGGGUAGCCGGCCUGAGAGGGCGACCGGCCACACUGGGACUGAGACACGGCCCAGACUCCUACGGGAGGCAGCAGUGGGGAAUAUUGCACAAUGGGCGAAAGCCUGAUGCAGCGACGCCGCGUGAGGGAUGACGGCCUUCGGGUUGUAAACCUCUUUCAGCAGGGAAGAAGCGAAAGUGACGGUACCUGCAGAAGAAGCGCCGGCUAACUACGUGCCAGCAGCCGCGGUAAUACGUAGGGCGCGAGCGUUGUCCGGAAUUAUUGGGCGUAAAGAGCUCGUAGGCGGCUUGUCGCGUCGGUUGUGAAAGCCCGGGGCUUAACCCCGGGUCUGCAGUCGAUACGGGCAGGCUAGAGUUCGGUAGGGGAGAUCGGAAUUCCUGGUGUAGCGGUGAAAUGCGCAGAUAUCAGGAGGAACACCGGUGGCGAAGGCGGAUCUCUGGGCCGAUACUGACGCUGAGGAGCGAAAGCGUGGGGAGCGAACAGGAUUAGAUACCCUGGUAGUCCAC